This 261-nucleotide ribosomal RNA is filed under the name uncultured archaeon. RNAcentral's name for it is "partial 16S ribosomal RNA". It matches the Rfam family "Archaeal small subunit ribosomal RNA", at positions 748 to 1008 of the family's 1478-position model. The record is from RNAcentral.
CAGCCGUAAACAAUGUGCGUUAGGUGUGUCGGUAACCACGUGUUACUGAUGCGCCGAAGAGAAAUCGUGAAACGCACCACCUGGGAAGUACGGUCGCAAGGCUGAAACUUAAAGGAAUUGGCGGGGGGAGCACCACAACAGGUGGAGCCUGCGGUUUAAUUGGAUUCAACGCCGGACAUCUCACCGGAUAAGACAGCUGAAUGAUUGUCAAUCUGAAGGUUUACAUGACUAGCUGAGAGGUGGUGCAUGGCGUCAGUGACU